UUUACUCUCUUCUAUAAAAUGACCCUGUUUUGUGACCCUAGUUUGGAGAAACCCAGUUGUUUACCAAUUUGAAACUUUUUAAGAAUGGGAUUUGUACGAGGACCUUACUAGCAAACAACCCUGAGCCUAAAUGGGAUUUGAUUAUAUUGACCAUCAUUUAGGCUGAGGGCAGAACUGAAAUGACCUUAUCUAUUUUCUUCAUUUAUACUGCUAGGUUUAAGAGUUUUCCUAAUUAUAUCAUGAUAUUAAGGACCCUGGAGUCGGCUUUUUGGGACAUCAUUUCUAUAAUGACAAAGGUGACAAUAUAUUCUAGACAGCAGGCAAAGAAGAAACAAUGAUGUGGAUGAUCUGAGACAAUGCAGCUUCUGAAGUGGUUGGAAAACCCAUCAACUAUGAUGUAUCGAAGACCCAUCCAUUUAGCAUUGCAGCCUUUAUUCUCCUCCAAAAGUAUGAAAUGAGAGAUACAUCCAAAUGGAACACAAUAAGGAACAAACAACUUCUGAAAAAAAUCACCCUAUACAGUAAAUAAACCUAAAGAAGAAGACUGAUAGAAGCAUGUCACUUUUAGAAGAAAAGAGCAACCAAGAGGAAAGCCCCUACUAUCUACCCUAGUAUCCAGUGAAGCCCCUCUGGAACUGAACAAUUUCUUUCAUAGCCUCCCCCUGGAAGAAAAUAUGCAGACACCCAUAAAAGAGCAGUCACCAAUAGUUUCUGAAAAGGAAACACAACCCAGCAUUCAUGUGACAGGAAGAAUAGUAUCCCAGUCUUCCCUAGGGAAAAAAAAGGUGAAUAUUGGUGAUAGGAGAUUCAAUUAUUUGAGGAACAAAAACUAUAGUCUGCAGAUCAAACAGUCAAUCUAGAGAGAUAUGUCAUCUCCCUGGAACAAAAAUCAAAGAUGUAACUGAGAACCUUACUAAAAUAAUCAAACUAAAAUUACUGGUGGUAAAAAUAAGUGAAACCCACCUCUGAUUACUAACCCUUUCUUCUCCUACAUGGGGGGACCAAUAAUACAACAAUGAAUCUAAAAACAAUAACAAGAGAAUACAAACAGCUAGGGAAGAAAGUUAAAGAAUUAGGAGCUCAAGUGGUGUUUUCAUCUAUACUUCCAACAAAAGGCCAACCUCCAAUUAGGGAGCAAAGGAUUUUACAAACAAACCACUGUCUUAAAAACUGGUGUUGUCAAGAGAACUUCCAUGGUCUGCAUUUCCUAUAUAAAGGUCUAACUUGCAACCUCA
Long non-coding RNA from Pantherophis guttatus, 1235 nucleotides. RefSeq lists it as uncharacterized. The record is from RefSeq and is a predicted model, not a curated record. Lineage: Eukaryota; Metazoa; Chordata; Lepidosauria; Squamata; Colubridae.